AGAGUUUGAUCAUGGCUCAGGACGAACGCUGGCGGCGUGCCUAAUACAUGCAAGUAGAACGCUGAAGAGAGGAGCUUGCUCUUCUUGGAUGAGUUGCGAACGGGUGAGUAACGCGUAGGUAACCUGCCUUGUAGCGGGGGAUAACUAUUGGAAACGAUAGCUAAUACCGCAUAACAAUGGAUGACACAUGUCAUUUAUUUGAAAGGGGCAAUUGCUCCACUACAAGAUGGACCUGCGUUGUAUUAGCUAGUAGGUGAGGUAAUGGCUCACCUAGGCGACGAUACAUAGCCGACCUGAGAGGGUGAUCGGCCACACUGGGACUGAGACACGGCCCAGACUCCUACGGGAGGCAGCAGUAGGGAAUCUUCGGCAAUGGGGGCAACCCUGACCGAGCAACGCCGCGUGAGUGAAGAAGGUUUUCGGAUCGUAAAGCUCUGUUGUAAGUCAAGAACGGGUGUGAGAGUGGAAAGUUCACACUGUGACGGUAGCUUGCCAGAAAGGGACGGCUAACUACGUGCCAGCAGCCGCGGUAAUACGUAGGUCCCGAGCGUUGUCCGAAUUUAUUGGGCGUAAAGCGAGCGCAGGCGGUUUGAUAAGUUUGAAGUUAAAGGCUGUGGCUCAACCAUAGUUCGCUUUGGAAACUGUCAAACUUGAGUGCAGAAGGGGAGAGUGGAAUUCCAUGUGUAGCGGUGAAAUGCGUAGAUAUAUGGAGGAACACCGGUGGCGAAAGCGGCUCUCUGGUCUGUAACUGACGCUGAGGCUCGAAAGCGUGGGGAGCGAACAGGAUUAGAUACCCUGGUAGUCCACGCCGUAAACGAUGAGUGCUAGGUGUUGGAUCCUUUCCGGGAUUCAGUGCCGCAGCUAACGCAUUAAGCACCCCGCCUGGGGAGUACGACCGCAAGGUUGAAACUCAAAGGAAUUGACGGGGGCCCGCACAAGCGGUGGAGCGUGUGGUUUAAUUCGAAGCAACGCGAAGAACCUUACCAGGUCUUGACAUCCCGAUGCUAUUUCUAGAGAUAGAAAGUUACUUCGGUACAUCGGUGACAGGUGGUGCAUGGUUGUCGUCAGCUCGUGUCGUGAGAUGUUGGGUUAAGUCCCGCAACGAGCGCAACCCCUAUUGUUAGUUGCCAUCAUUCAGUUGGGCACUCUAGCGAGACUGCCGGUAAUAAACCGGAGGAAGGUGGGGAUGACGUCAAAUCAUCAUGCCCCUUAUGACCUGGGCUACACACGUGCUACAAUGGUUGGUACAACGAGUUGCGAGUCGGUGACGGCGAGCUAAUCUCUUAAAGCCAAUCUCAGUUCGGAUUGUAGGCUGCAACUCGCCUACAUGAAGUCGGAAUCGCUAGUAAUCGCGGAUCAGCACGCCGCGGUGAAUACGUUCCCGGGCCUUGUACACACCGCCCGUCACACCACGAGAGUUUGUAACACCCGAAGUCGGUGAGGUAACCUUUUGGAGCCAGCCGCCUAAGGUGGGACAGAUGAUUGGGGUGAAGUCGUAACAAGGUA
Molecule: ribosomal RNA, 1506 nt
Filed under: metagenome
Description: bacterial SSU rRNA
Rfam family: Bacterial small subunit ribosomal RNA
Source: RNAcentral